GAUGAACGCUAGCUACAGGCUUAACACAUGCAAGUCGCGGGGCAGCAUGGGGGUUGCUUGCACUCCCCGAUGGCGACCGGCGCACGGGUGAGUAACGCGUAUCCAACCUGCCCUUCACCACGGGAUAACCCGGCGAAAGUCCGACUAAUACCGUAAGUUGUCCAUUGACGGCACCCGAUUUCGUCGAAAGUUUUGGCGGUGAAGGAUGGGGUCGCGUCCGAUUAGCUGGACGGCGGGGUGACGGCCCACCGUGGCGACGAAGGGUAGGGGUUAUGAGAGGAAGGUCCACCACAAUGGAACCGAGACACAGACCAGACUGCUACGGGAGGGAGCAGUGAGGAAUAUUAGGCAAGGGGCGUAAGCCUGAACCAGCCAAGUAGCGGGCAGGAUGACGGCCCUAGGGGUUGUAAACUGCUUUUAUGCGGGGAUAAAGGGGCCAACGUGUGGGUUUUUGCAGGUACCGCAUGAAUAAGGACCGGCUAAUUCCGUG
This 490-nucleotide ribosomal RNA is filed under the name uncultured bacterium. RNAcentral describes it as "partial 16S ribosomal RNA". It matches the Rfam family "Bacterial small subunit ribosomal RNA", at positions 28 to 507 of the family's 1533-position model. The record is from RNAcentral.